RNAcentral lists this long non-coding RNA (780 nucleotides) under Amborella trichopoda. Its description in RNAcentral is "long non-coding RNA (ATRI_LNC003462)". Lineage: Eukaryota; Viridiplantae; Streptophyta; Magnoliopsida; Amborellales; Amborellaceae. The record is from RNAcentral.
UUAAUUUGUUGAGUGUACUUUGAUAAAUUUUAUCCUUUCCUUGGGCUACAAAAAUUCUAGAAACUACCAACCCAACUAGCUUAACCAUCAGGCAUGGAGUUAUACAUGUUUGAAUGAAACUCAAAGACAUCAUAUUGUGACACUCUAUUACCUUGACCACCUCUCCUUAAGCUGCUCUCGUUUUAAAAUUCUUAUAAACAUUUAUUUCUGGUCCAAUGACUUCAAGUUCUGGGCAUAGGUGGACACUUGCAUAACUAGAACUAUAAUGCUGAACAAAUUGGCAUUUAUAAGCUACGCACCCAAUUGGUAUUUAUAAGCCAAGCACUAAAUAAUCAGAGUCCCCUCACAUAUAAUGCAUGCCCCAAGGAUGUUACUCUGCACAAGGUUAACCGUGGAGAUUUCAGCAAAAUAAAAUCAGACGGCUUCUGACAUAUCUUGUGGUAACGAAGGAACAUUGUAGCCGUUCAAGGUGGAUUGGCGUCUUUGAUAGCAUGGCCCAUGGCAAUUUCAGGGCAUGGUUGCUUCAUUAAAUGGUGGUUGAAGGACUUUAUAGCACUAUGCAUGGAAGCUUCAGUCUUUGUGGUUACAAAUUAUAAAUAGUUGUAAUGUUUUGGAGGUUAAUUUUAGACAGGUUUAUAUUAUAAAUAGUUGUAAUGUUUUGGAGGUUAAUUUUAGACAGGUUUAUCAGGAGGCCAAUGAGGUAGCAGACUCCCUUGCGAAGAGGCCAAUGAGGUAGCAGACAGGUAUAUAGGGUUCUAUGUUAGAUGAAUUGGAUGUUGA